Unclassified non-coding RNA from Chelonoidis abingdonii (Abingdon island giant tortoise), 178 nucleotides. The record is from Ensembl. NCBI's taxonomy places the organism in Eukaryota, Metazoa, Chordata, Testudines, Testudinidae.
AUAACAGCCCUUGGGACCAAACUAUUGUUUUUAUUCAUAAAACAGGUACAGCAUGGACAAUGGCAGUGCAAAAUUCCCUGCUCUUCCCUGUCUGUGUAUCUCAAACCUAACUAGGAGAGGACAGCCCUUAGUAGUGAAAAGGUACCUCAGUCACUAGGGCUAUCACUUUUUGGCUCUU